GACUCGGUACUUUAAGAUAAAAGACCUGAUUUGCAUUUAGAUAAUAAGUUAAAUAACUUUCGGGUC
This 66-nucleotide transfer RNA is filed under the name Turricula nelliae spuria. RNAcentral's name for it is "Turricula nelliae spurius tRNA-Ala". Lineage: Eukaryota; Metazoa; Mollusca; Gastropoda; Neogastropoda; Clavatulidae. The record is from RNAcentral.